Molecule: long non-coding RNA, 1192 nt
Filed under: Triticum aestivum (bread wheat)
Lineage: Eukaryota; Viridiplantae; Streptophyta; Magnoliopsida; Poales; Poaceae
Description: long non-coding RNA (TAES_LNC009739)
Source: RNAcentral
GUUUUCUUUUAUUAUAUCUUUAUUUCUUUAUUUUAAUUGCAUUUUAAUUUGGUAAAAUAUACACUUAGUAUCUAAUUUAGUAUUUUGACUUAGUCCAUAGUCACAAAAAGUCUAGACCCCCAAAUAACUUAGUUUGACAUUUUAUUAAUUAUAAAAGUUAUCCAAAUAAUCAUUUUUACUACUGUUUUAUUCAUCUCAUAGUAUUUAAACAUUUUAUAAAUGUGUGGUUCUUCCCCAACAAUUAUCUAUGCAAUAUUUGGUUCACUCCGAACAUUUUAGUUUUAAUAUUUGAAAUUUUUUAUUGUUUGCCUAUUUUUGAAUUUGAAUUUGAAUCGGUUUUGAACUAACUCGAGAUUAGCAACUAUAAACGAGGUGACAUGGCAUCGUUAGCAGAGGUUACUAUAGCUUGAUUAUCCGGGCGUUACAAAUCUCCUCCACUACAAGAAAUCUCGUCCCGAGAUUUAGGAGGUAGAAGGAAACAGUGCAGGGUAUUCAUCGCGAAGACGAUCCUCGCGUUCCCAAGUGGCUUCGUCUUCAGAGUGAUUCGACCACUGGACUUUGAGGAAUUUGAUCGCCUUCUGACGUGUGCGGCGUUCAGCUUGGUCAAGAAUGCGGACCGGAUGCUCUUUAUAGGAGAGGUCCUGUUGCAAUUCGAGCACUUCAUGAUCCACCGCUCGGAUUGGAUCCUUGAAGCAACGGCGGAGUUGUGACACAUGGAACACAUCGUGAACCUGAGAAAGGUUCGGCGGAAGCUCCAGUUGAUAUGCCACCUUUCCACGCCUCUCAAGAAUAGUGAAGGGACCGAUAUAGCGAGGAGCUAGCUUUCCCUUGAUCCCGAAGCGGUGAGCACCCUUCAUUGGUGUAACUCGAAGAUAAGCCUUUUCGCCAGGUUGAUAGACCAUGUCUUGGUGAUGACGGUCAUACUGACUUUUCUGACGUGACUGAGCAGUCUUGAGAUUCUCGCGAAUAAUGCGAACUUGUUCUUCGGCCUGUUGGAUAAUAUCCGGACCGAAGAGUGGACGUUCCCCAGUUUCUGACCAGUUCAGAGGGGUUCGGCACUUCCGUCCAUAUAACACUUCGAAGGGGGACAUCUUCAGACUAGCUUGAUAGCUAUUAUUAUAAGAGAACUCGGCAUAUGGAAGAGAUUCCUCCCAUUUCUUGCCGAAUGAGAUUACACAAGCUCGAAGCAUGU